CCUACUUUCGUACUUUCGUGCCUAACCUACGUACACACGCACUUUACCGUAUGUCUGGUAUUAUGUGUUUAUUUUGUAUACAUAUUCGCAUCGACGAUUCUCUAUCUGGAGAAUGGAUUUACAGGAACUAAAAAUUUCACGUUCAAGAAUUAUUAACCCUGAUUAAAACAAAAACCUAAGAAAUCGUUUCACGGUCUAGAGGUUAUACGUCGAGGAAGGAAUUACCAGUAAAGACCCGAAGGAAAGGAAUGAAAGAUAUAUCAGAAUAGGAUUCAUAUUUACAAUAAAAUUAUCACGAAAUGAAAGUAAAGAAAAGACACUAAACCUAUGUCAAGAUAGGAAGAAUCGUACACAGGUAUAAUGAUAUUGUGAAACGACACAGUUAGACCAAAUGCAACUACAAAGCGUGCAAGUGUAUCACCAUGUGCAUUAUGACAAUGCUUUCCUAUCGAUGUUUACUCGACGAUAACAUUGCUGGGUCUUACAAAUGCGAUUCUACACCAUGGCGUACGUGACCGAUAUGUCGAAGGCGUGCCGUCUGGGACCACAGAAGCUGCAACGGCAUAUACUAAGAAGACGUACACUGAGAACCACAGUUCCGGAAUUUAUCAGGUAAGAUAGUACCCACUUCCAGGAGACUCGAUGCAUGUUAUGUGGAUGAGAAUACAAACUCCAGGGAGUGUACGCGUAUGCUCCUAACUGGUGCUCCUAACUGCGCUUAAAAGUUUUACGUUCUUUUUACAAUGAGUUUUAGCACGAAAUGUAAAUUCAUUUCCUUUUUUCUUAAAAUUCUACUCGAGAUAGAUAACAAUUUUAAAGUUUCGUAAUACGUAUAUGGGAAUUGAGAAAUUUUCGAUCUAAAUCUCAUUUCGAAUUCCAUUAAUUUUUUUUUUCCAUCUUGAAAUCUAAUUCUUGUCUCGAUAAAUCGUUACGAUCGAUGUUCAACUAUUAAACGAUCAAUAGAAAUUAUCGAACAUAAUUCGGUCAGACAAACCAGUAAACCGUUACAAACCGUUAUGUACAAACUUUUUACGUUUGUUUCUUUGUCGGGACGGAAAAUUAGGUUUAUCGUACGGAUGAAUUAUAACAAACGGUGAUCAUGGUAACGUUAACAUUAUCGUUAAAGUAGUUAUGGAUAGUAAGAUCUUUAAAGCGAAGUUCUAGUUUGCGGUCAAGCAAUCUCCAUACCAGACCACCGUUUCUGUAUCACGAUAGAGGAACACUUCUAUGGAUUCAGCUAAUCGAGUUGGCAACUAUUGUGUAAGCACACACGUACACAUAAUCAUGUUACCGGCAGGCAGUCGAACCCGUUGUCGUCGUCCAAAACGACUAUAUGACUAGUAGAAUGCUAUAGUACUUUUAUUACACGUACGAUGUAUGCUACGUAUGAUGUAUUUUAAAAUUGAAUCAUGCACUAAUGGGAAAAACGCUUGAUUAGAGACCUAAAUUACAUCACUAUAAUAAUCACUAUACCGAUAUUCAUUCGUCAUGAUGAAUCACGGUGAAUCAAGAUUUGGACUCACUAAUUUUCUCUUUGAUUAAUCACCGGUAGCUACCGGUCGCAGAAAUAUGGACUAAGAAACGAGCAUGAAAUAUCUCGGUAUACAUACUUCGUCAUAAGUAUUGACUAAUGAAAUAUGUAUCAAAAAAUUCUAAAUGAUUACUUGUUCGCGAAUACGUGUCUGACGCCUUAAAUUUACGUA
Apis dorsata (giant honeybee) is the source of this 1703-nucleotide long non-coding RNA. RefSeq lists it as uncharacterized. The record is from RefSeq and is a predicted model, not a curated record. The transcript is spliced from 4 exons. NCBI's taxonomy places the organism in Eukaryota, Metazoa, Arthropoda, Insecta, Hymenoptera, Apidae.